RNAcentral lists this transfer RNA (63 nucleotides) under Echyridella menziesii. RNAcentral's name for it is "tRNA-Ile". The record is from RNAcentral. Lineage: Eukaryota; Metazoa; Mollusca; Bivalvia; Unionida; Hyriidae.
AGUGUCACGCCGGACGAACGGACUACUCUGAUGACGUAGAUUAUGGAAACUUUCCUGACACUU